CGCGAAGAACCUUACCUACUCUUGACAUCCAGAGAACUUUCCAGAGAUGGAUUGGUGCCUUCGGGAACUCUGAGACAGGUGCUGCAUGGCUGUCGUCAGCUCGUGUUGUGAAAUGUUGGGUUAAGUCCCGCAACGAGCGCAACCCUUAUCCUUUGUUGCCAGCGGUUAGGCCGGGAACUCAAAGGAGACUGCCAGUGAUAAACUGGAGGAAGGUGGGGAUGACGUCAAGUCAUCAUGGCCCUUACGAGUAGGGCUACACACGUGCUACAAUGGCAUAUACAAAGAGAAGCGACCUCGCGAGAGCAAGCGGACCUCAUAAAGUAUGUCGUAGUCCGGAUUGGAGUCUGCAACUCGACUCCAUGAAGUCGGAAUCGCUAGUAAUCGUGGAUCAGAAUGCCACGGUGAAUACGUUCCCGG
Molecule: ribosomal RNA, 417 nt
Filed under: Serratia sp. REI_43
Lineage: Bacteria; Pseudomonadati; Pseudomonadota; Gammaproteobacteria; Enterobacterales; Yersiniaceae
Description: bacterial SSU rRNA
Rfam family: Bacterial small subunit ribosomal RNA
Source: RNAcentral